This 461-nucleotide long non-coding RNA is filed under the name Homo sapiens (human). RNAcentral's name for it is "HSALNT0312793". Lineage: Eukaryota; Metazoa; Chordata; Mammalia; Primates; Hominidae. The record is from RNAcentral.
UAGCAUUUUAUGAAACCACAACCAGGAUUACAUAAAACCAGAAAUUAAGAUUGGUCCAAUGACAUAACCCUACAAAGAGUACAGAUAGCAGAAUAAUGGAUCCUCAAAGAUGUCUGAAUCCUAAUCCUUGAAACCUAUGGGCCUUAUCUAAUUACACAAGAUCUGAAAACUCAAGAUGGUUUCUACCUGCCAUUGCUGGCUUUGAAGAGGAUGAAGAUGGCUACAAACCAAGAAAUGAGGAGGCUUCUAAAAGCUAGGAUUGACCCAUCGAUCAUAGGUCACAGUAAAAGGGAAAACACUUAUGGAUAUGGAGAUGCCACAAAAUUAGAGUAUUUGGGAUCGAAACCAUCACCUCACCUGCCUGGACUCACAAUGAGCAAUACUCUGGGAUCUUUUGAUAUUUGUGGAUUACAUGUUACUGAAAGCCAAUUUACCUGAUUCUGAAAAAUACCAAUGCUUAU